Marasmius tenuissimus is the source of this 95-nucleotide non-coding RNA. The record is from the annotation of a GenBank genome assembly. NCBI's taxonomy places the organism in Eukaryota, Fungi, Basidiomycota, Agaricomycetes, Agaricales, Marasmiaceae.
GCAUUAAUGGGGUAGUGGUAACCUGGGUCGUUGCCAUAUGAGGCUUUCGCACAAUUUGUCUCGACCCGCCGGGGGUUCGAUUCCCUCUUAAUGCA